Molecule: ribosomal RNA, 754 nt
Filed under: uncultured archaeon
Lineage: Archaea
Description: bacterial SSU rRNA
Rfam family: Archaeal small subunit ribosomal RNA
Source: RNAcentral
UCAGUAACACGUGGCUAACCCACCCUUAGGACGGGGACAACCCCGGGAAACUGGGGCUAAUACCCGAUAGGUGAGGAGGCCUGGAAUGGUUCCUAGUCGAAAAGGCGUCGAAACCAUGCUUUUCGACGUCGCCUAAGGAUGGGGCCGCGCCCGAUCAGGUUGUUGGUGGGGUAACGGCUCACCAAGCCUAUAACCGGUACGGGCCGUGAGAGCGGGAGCCCGGAGAUGGGCACUGAGACAAGGGCCCAGGCCCUACGGGGCGCAGCAGUCGCGAAAACUCCGCAAUGCGCGAAAGCGUGACGGGGCUACCCCGAGUGCCGUCCGCUGAGGAUGGCUUUUCCCCGGUGUAAUGAGCCGGGGGAAUAAGGAGAGGGCAAGUCUGGUGUCAGCCGCCGCGGUAAUACCAGCUCUCCGAGUGGUAGGGAUGAUUAUUGGGCUUAAAGCGUCCGUAGCCGGCUUAGCAAGUCUCCUGUUAAAUUCAGCGACCUAAUCGUUGAGCCGCGGGAGAUACUACUAGGCUAGGAGGCGGGAGAGGCCGACGGUAUUCUCGGGGUAGGGGUGAAAUCCUAUAAUCCCGGGAGGACCACCAGUGGCGAAGGCUGUCGGCUAGAACGCGCUCGACGGUGAGGGACGAAAGCUGGGGGAGCGAACCGGAUUAGAUACCCGGGUAGUCCCAGCUGUAAACGAUGCGGGCUAGGUGUUGGGGUGGCUACGAGCCACUUCAGUGCCGCAGGGAAGCCAUUAAGCCCGCCGC